AUUGUGCAUAUGAUCGGUGUACAUGAUCUACUGUUCGGAGUGCAGAAGUUUAGAUUCAUUCUGAAUAAUUUAAAAAUACAAAACCUUUUUUUUCUCUCUCAACCAGUAAUCUCAAUGCAUCAAAACCUCAUGGAAUAACAAAGAUGUGAACUCUAUAAAUAAAAUAUCUAAAAAAUAAACAGUAGAAUUAAACCUAAUGAUGACUCAUAAUUGAACUGGGAAAAAGCAGAGGAACCCAUGUAAGAACUUGAUGUUUUGUCCUGCUGCAUGUGAUCAGCAUAAUGCAGAAUUCUCCAUCAGACAUGAUCAUAAAGCUUCAAACAUCAACAGCAGUAGAAGUAAUUUUCCUCGCCACGUGGCAGAGCGAGAGCGGUAGGAUGAAGGGAAGAAGGGUGAUCCAUGGUUGCCAUGAUAUGAUCAUAAAAUCUCCUGCUAACUACUAACAACUUUAGUAUUGAGAGUAAAUGCAGAUAGGGGGUUAGGUGAGUGCUACGAGACUCAUCAGUAAUAAAAACCUGUUGAUUCUGCCAUUAAUUUUCUGGAUGGUCUGCCAAAAUUUUGUUGCUUUUCUCGGGAAAAUUUCCUUGUUUGGUUGGAGAGAAAACAGUACCUUUGGUUGGCUGGCUGCCCAAUUGAUGCAACUCUGACUUUCUGUUGGAUGCAUUUGUUUCAGCACUUAAAUGAAUCCACGUUAGCCAGCCAGGCUCUGGUUUUCAGUUUUCAAACAUGAAGAAGCUCAUCAAAUAUUAAUUUUAUAAAA
Molecule: long non-coding RNA, 760 nt
Filed under: Carica papaya (papaya)
Lineage: Eukaryota; Viridiplantae; Streptophyta; Magnoliopsida; Brassicales; Caricaceae
Description: long non-coding RNA (CPAP_LNC007371)
Source: RNAcentral